This 779-nucleotide ribosomal RNA is filed under the name uncultured Neocallimastigales. Its description in RNAcentral is "partial large subunit ribosomal RNA". It matches the Rfam family "Eukaryotic large subunit ribosomal RNA", at positions 18 to 616 of the family's 3401-position model. The record is from RNAcentral. Lineage: Eukaryota; Fungi; Neocallimastigomycota; Neocallimastigomycetes; Neocallimastigales.
UCAGACGAUGCGUCAUGCAUAUCAAUAAGCGGAGGAAAAGAAACUAACAAGGAUUCCCCUAGUAACGGCGAGUGAAGCGGGAAGAGCUCAAAUUUGAAAUCUUAAAGGGUUUCCCUUUACGAAUUGUAGUUUAAAGAAGUGUUUUCUGUUGAGGUUUUGGUAAAAGUUCUUUGGAAUAGGACAUCAUAGAGGGUGAGAAUCCCGUAUUUGACCUUUACUUUCAACUUUGUGAUACACUUUCAAAGAGUCGGAUUGUUUGGGAAUGCAGUCCAAAAUGGGUGGUAAAUUUCAUCUAAAGCUAAAUAUUGGCGAGAGACCGAUAGCGAACAAGUACCGUGAGGGAAAGAUGAAAAGAACUUUGAAAAGAGAGUUAAACAGUACGUGAAAUUGUCAAAAGGGAAGCGUUUGACACCAGUGUUGUUUUUCUGAAAAUCAAUUAAAGAACUGUUUAUGCUAAGUUGUUUAGACUUUAUCAGCUAACUGUUUAGUUUUGAGCUUUUCUUUAAUGCACUUUUCAGUUAACAAGUCAACAUCAAUUUCUUUUGCUGUAAAAAAGCUUGAGGAAGGUGGCUUGAGAUUCGUCUUAAGUGUUUAUAGCCUCUUGCCUAUGCAGUCGGAGAGAUUGAGGUCUGCAGCGUAGAUCCUUCGGGGCUAGAUACAGUUGGUGCUAAGUUAUAAUCAUUAUAUAGACAACUUGUUGACUAUGAUUUGAUCAUUGUAGCUUACUCGCUGGAUGUUAUUUUACCUACGCUUAGGAUGUUGAGCGCAUGUCUCUCUCU